GCUGCUUCCCACCUUUCACGUUCCUCGUGGCGUAAAGUGUUCUCGCGAGAUUUCGGGCCCACUAUUAGCUGGGUGGUGCGAUGGGCCAUCCUUUUCUUUCGAGAGGCCGUGGAGAUAAUAGCUGUUUAUGUUAGCAUUCGUUCGGAGAAGCCACAUCAUGUUUGCCGAGUUGUCGGAAAUCUGAAGCAAGUAAUAAGUGAUGAGUAAUUUGGAGAGGGGCUUGGAGAAUACAUAACAGGAAUGAAUUCUCUGAACCCUAUAAUGGCAUCUGAUUCAGCUGUGGAAAUUGAAAAUCACAGUGAUAAUUCUUCAUCUGGUAGCAGCUUAUUUAAAACUCAGUGUGUCCCUUCCUCACCUAAACCGAGGCAAAGAAACCGUAUCAGAAAAUUUGUUUAUUCACCUGAAAGUGUUCAAGCAAAGGAUUCCUCUAGUGACUCAUCUUUAGAACCAAGACCAUUGACUUUAAAAGCUAUUUUUGAAAGAUUCAAAAAAAAGAAACGUAAAAAGAGGAAAUACAAGCCAACAGGAAGACCAAGGGGAAGACCAAAAGGAAGAAAAAAUACUAGACGCUCCCAAAUAAAUAGGAAACAAGUUAGAGACAAAGGAUCUGGGUUCCCAUUUUUAGAAUCAGAGAAUGAAAGAAAACCACUACCUUGGAGGAAGAUUUUAACCUUUGAGCAAGCAGUGGCAAGAGGAUUUUUCAACUACCUUGAAAAGCUGAAGUAUGAAUACUACCUCAAGGAAUCCUUGAAACAAAUGAAUGUUGGUGAAGAUUUAGAAAAAGAAGACUUUGACAGCCGUAGAUAUAAAUACUUGGAUGAUGAUGGAUCUCUCUCUCCUAUUGAGUCAGAAGCAGAGGAUGAUCUUGCAACAAAUCUUGAACAUGAUGACGAAUGUGAUAUCAAAUUGGUGGACCAUAAUUAUUUCAUAGUAAGUUCUGAAGUACCAAAGAAGAAGAAUGUGUAUUUAGAACAAGAGGAAUAUACUGAAGAAGGAGCUGUGUCUAGAAGGAGAACAUCAAGGUCCAAAAACAUUGGACAGAGGAUAGAAUGGCCUGAAAAGGAGAUAGGAAUAUGAAUGUUGAGGUAUUGGAGUAUCCCAAGAAUCUGUAUAGUUCAGGGCGUGCUAGUUUAGGGUGUUUGAAAUUGAGAACCAGGGGUCCAUCUAGUCUGACCCUAAACAUGGCCCUAAAGUAAAAAAAAAAACUGGAUCCCAAAGAUUGCAG
Molecule: RNA transcript, 1225 nt
Organism: Leopardus geoffroyi (Geoffroy's cat)
Lineage: Eukaryota; Metazoa; Chordata; Mammalia; Carnivora; Felidae
Gene: TAF1D
Gene name: TATA-box binding protein associated factor, RNA polymerase I subunit D
Exons: 9
Source: RefSeq, a predicted model, not a curated record